This is a long non-coding RNA of Nothobranchius furzeri (turquoise killifish), 624 nucleotides long. RefSeq lists it as uncharacterized. NCBI's taxonomy places the organism in Eukaryota, Metazoa, Chordata, Actinopteri, Cyprinodontiformes, Nothobranchiidae. The record is from RefSeq and is a predicted model, not a curated record.
GGUUCUAUUUUCUACGCGCUACGCCUCUGAAACGGGUCGAGUUCGACAUUUUUGAGUAAGGUCUAGCUGCAGAAGUAGCCCCGGCCAAACACGCCCCUAUGUACAAAACAUGCGUGCAUGUACGAAGACGAGAACUCGCAUGCGUGUUGCAACAGAUGGAAAUGACGGUUCUGGUAAAGACAGAUUUAUGUUUUUACAACUUGCGAAGAUUUUGUACUAGAAAUUUGAACGUUUAAGACAUAGUUUGAUAGAUAGCGCAUUCGUAAUUUUUUUCUGAAACACUUUUAUAUAAAAUUAAAUAUUAUUGGCAGUGGGGGAAGACAUCAUGGACACAAAUUUUUUAUAUAAUUUUUAAUGGGCUACAUGCAAGCCUUUUGGCCAAAAUAAACCUAACAAUAGGCUGUUUAUUUGACCGUUUAUGACUCCUCAUCUAAUAAGCAGCAAACUCACGACGGCAUUGUGGCAGCCCGGAGUGAGAGGCAGCUGAUGUCCUAUGCCAUGGAACUGCUCAUAUACUCGGAGAAAUUCAGAAAAGCUCUGGACUCAUCUCAUUGUGUGGACAUUUUUAUUUUUUAUUUUUCGAAGGUUUUUGUAAGGCCAAUAAAAGUUGUUGCUGGGCGUUUC